This 441-nucleotide ribosomal RNA is filed under the name uncultured bacterium. RNAcentral describes it as "partial 16S ribosomal RNA". It matches the Rfam family "Bacterial small subunit ribosomal RNA", at positions 338 to 795 of the family's 1533-position model. The record is from RNAcentral.
CCUACGGGUGGCAGCAGUGGGGGAUAUUGCACAAUGGGGGGAACCCUGAUGCAGCGACGCCGCGUGGGUGAAGGAGUGCUUCGGCAUGUAAAGCCCUAUCGGCAGGGAAGAAGCAAGACGGUACCUGACUAAGAAGCCCCGGCUAACUACGUGCCAGCAGCCGCGGUAAUACGUAGGGGGCGAGCGUUAUCCGGAUUCACUGGGUGUAAAGGGAGCGUAGACGGCCAAGCAAGCCAGGGGUGAAAGCCCGGGGCCCAACCCCGGGACUGCCCUUGGAACUGCAUGGCUGGAGUGCGGGAGGGGCAGGCGGAAUUCCUGGUGUAGCGGUGAAAUGCGUAGAUAUCAAGAGGAAUACUCAUUGCGAAGGCGACCUACUGGAACAUUACUGACGCUCAUGCACGAAAGCGUGGGGAGCAAACAGGAUUAGAUACCCCAGUAGUC